RNAcentral lists this ribosomal RNA (468 nucleotides) under uncultured bacterium. Its description in RNAcentral is "partial 16S ribosomal RNA". It matches the Rfam family "Bacterial small subunit ribosomal RNA", at positions 28 to 507 of the family's 1533-position model. The record is from RNAcentral.
GACGAACGCUGGCGGCGUGCUUAACACAUGCAAGUCGAACGGAAAGGCCCUGCUUUUGUGGGGUGCUCGAUUGGCGAACGGGUGAGUAACACGUGAGUAACCUGCCCUUGACUUUGGGAUAACUUCAGGAAACUGGGGCUAAUACCGGAUAGGAGCUCCUGCUGCAUGGUGGUGGUUGGAAAGUUUCGGCGGUUGGGGAUGGACUCGCGGCUUAUCAGCUUGUUGGUGGGGUAGUGGCUUACCAAGGCUUUGACGGGUAGCCGGCCUGAGAGGGUUACCGGGCCAAAUGGGAACGGGGAAAGGGCCAGGACUCUAAGGGAGGGAAGAGGGGGGAAAAAUGGAAAAAGGGCGGAAGCCUGAUGCAGCAACGCCGCGUGCGGGAUGACGGCCUUCGGGUUGUAAACCGCUUUCGCCUGUGACGAAGCGUGAGUGACGGUAAUGGGUAAAGAAGCACCGGCUAACUACGUG